GUGCUGGCUUUGGCAGCACAUAUAUUAAAAUCGAAAUGAUACAAAGAUUAGAAUGGCCCUUGCACAAGGAUGACAUGCAAAUUUGUGCAGCAUCCCAUAUUUAA
Camelus dromedarius (Arabian camel) is the source of this 104-nucleotide small nuclear RNA. The record is from Ensembl. NCBI's taxonomy places the organism in Eukaryota, Metazoa, Chordata, Mammalia, Artiodactyla, Camelidae.